RNAcentral lists this long non-coding RNA (264 nucleotides) under Callithrix jacchus (white-tufted-ear marmoset). Its description in RNAcentral is "lncRNA (ENSCJAG00000076746.1)". The record is from RNAcentral. Lineage: Eukaryota; Metazoa; Chordata; Mammalia; Primates; Cebidae.
CCUCUCAGAUCUUUUCAGCUGAGAAACCCGUGUCUCCUCUGGUUGAGAAGUUCCAGUGAGAGAGAGCUGAGUGCCUUCUCAGUGAGGUGGGAGAUGGGUGUUCAGCGCAGUGGCUGGGGAGUCCUGGACUCCCAUUCUGGCUCAGUGGUGAUGAGACCUUGGCGACAUGUGAACUACUCAUUGACUAACAAGACGAUUAGAAAUUGGUAAGUUGUUACUUUUGAUUGCUCUUUUUUUUCCCUAGAGGAUAGUUUUUUGACUAAG